AAGAAGCUCAAAAUCACCAGUAGAGGAAACAAGUGAUGGAUAAACAAAGUAUAAUUUAUUUAAGCCAAAAAUAAUUAACAGAUCCUUCAAAGGAAUCAGAGACAGACACCAGGGCUCACUGCUGAGAAAACAGUCCCACUGACUGCGUUGCUCCCGUGCCGUGACUCAGGUCCCACCCUCCCUUCCUUGCCCUGUCUGGGCUUGGCUCUGCAUAUCAGGAGGGCUGGAACAGGCAAGAAGCUUUGCCCAAGCUUUGCUAACUGGCUUUCACCUGAGUUUGGCCACCAGGAGGCUAGUGGCAGUGUUCUGGGGCAAGAGAAAAACCAAGAUGUUUUGACUGCUGUGUCUUUUCCACAUGUCAGCUCCCAUCCCAGUCCACAUGAUUUCAGCUUCCUCUGGCCAACCACAGCUCUAGUCUCCUUUCCUUUGCCCUUCAGCCUGGAGUGGAAGCAGCUUCUUGUCGUCACUAAGUCGUCACUUGCUUUACUGUCCCCUAGUUGAUCUCUCAGCCUCUUCCAUCACCUGUGUAACUAGACCCCUGCAUUAAAUUCGCACUGGUUUGAAUUUUCAGAGUAUUUGGAUUUUCCUGGUUGGACCCUGUCUUAGGUCUUAUGAUCCUGUCCUCUAAGCAGAACCUGAAACAUUCUUGCAAAAGUGAUGGAUUAAGGGAUGCUCUCAGGAGAAGCAGACUGAGAAAAAUAGGAUAGGGCAGGGAAGGAAGCUGAGCAAGCAUGAGUCUUGCCUAGAAACCCACUUUGGCCUGGUCCCUCAGGGAACUCUGGCCCACUCAUUGCACCACAGAGUUGGAGCCCCCUUGAGGCAAGGGGGUGAUCAAUCACCUUAUUUGCCUGAGACUGAAAGGUUUCCAAGAAUGUGGGACGUUCAACACUAAAACUAGAACAGUCCUAAGCAAACCAGGAUGUUUGGUCACUUAUAAGACAAUCAGUAUUGGCCCAACCUGGAGUGAGGCAGAGUGCUUCUCCUGAGAAGGGAAAGCUGUAAACAUUAGGAACCAACAUUCUCUGAAGCCAGGGAUGGGCUCACUAGGCAGGGAGGGGGAUCUCGGCAGGACACCUCAGCACCUGCUAUAGACUCCAAUUGAUAGGGUUUCCUUCAAUUCCGCAUCCAAGCUGUUAUAUGUGAAUCCAUUAGGUUUACAACUCCAAAGCUACAGCCAGGGGCCAGACUGGCGGCAUUGUGGUUAAGUUCAUGCGCUCCGCUUCAGCAGCCCAGGGUUCACGGGUUCAGAUCCAGGCACAGAUCUGCACACCUCCCAUCAAGCCCCGCCAUGGCGGCAUCCACAUGCAGAAUAGCGGAAGAUUGACACAGAUGUUAGCUGAGCGACAAUCUUCCUCACUGAAAAAAGAACACAAGGCACUGCCAAUUUCCUCAUUAAAACCAAAUGAUUAAAUCAUCGUCAAUAACUCAUCACU
RNAcentral lists this long non-coding RNA (1433 nucleotides) under Equus caballus (horse). Its description in RNAcentral is "lncRNA (ENSECAG00000047678.1)". The record is from RNAcentral. Lineage: Eukaryota; Metazoa; Chordata; Mammalia; Perissodactyla; Equidae.